This 253-nucleotide ribosomal RNA is filed under the name uncultured bacterium. RNAcentral's name for it is "partial 16S ribosomal RNA". It matches the Rfam family "Bacterial small subunit ribosomal RNA", at positions 524 to 776 of the family's 1533-position model. The record is from RNAcentral.
UACGUAGGGACCGAGCGUUGUCCGGAAUCAUUGGGCGUAAAGAGCGUGUAGGCGGCUAUUUAAGUCCUGCGUGAAAUCCUGCGGCUCAACCGCAGACGGUCGUGGGAAACUGGAUGGCUAGAGUGCGGGAGAGGAGAGUGGAAUUCCCGGUGUAGCGGUGAAAUUCGUAGAUAUCGGGAGGAACACCAGUGGCGAAGGCGGCGACCUGGACAGACACUGACGCUGAGACGCGAAAGCGUGGGGAGCAAACAGG